GACGAACGCUGGCGGCGUGCUUAACACAUGCAAGUCGUACGGUAAGGCCCUUUCGGGGUUACACGAGUGGCAAACGGGUGAGUAACACGUGAGUAACCUGCCCACAACUUUGGGAUAACGCUAGGAAACUGGUGCAAAUACGGAAUAUGUGCUCCUGCUGCAGGGUGGGGGUUGAAAAGCUCCGGCGGUUGUGGAUGGACUCGCGGCCUAUCAGCUUGUUGGUGGGGUAGUGGCCUACCAAGGCGGCGACGGGUGGCCGGCCUGAGAGGGUGACCGGCCACAUUGGGACUGAGAUACGGCCCAGACUCCUACGGGAGGCAGCAGUGGGGAAUAUUGCACAAUGGGCGCAAGCCUGAUGCAGCAACGCCGCGUGCGGGAUGACGGCCUUCGGGUUGUAAACCGCUUUCAGCAGGGACGAAGCUUUUUGUGACGGUACCUGCAGAAGAAGCACCGGCGAACUACG
This 463-nucleotide ribosomal RNA is filed under the name uncultured bacterium. Its description in RNAcentral is "partial 16S ribosomal RNA". It matches the Rfam family "Bacterial small subunit ribosomal RNA", at positions 28 to 505 of the family's 1533-position model. The record is from RNAcentral.